Molecule: ribosomal RNA, 292 nt
Filed under: uncultured bacterium
Lineage: Bacteria
Description: partial 16S ribosomal RNA
Rfam family: Bacterial small subunit ribosomal RNA
Source: RNAcentral
GUGUCAGCCGCCGCGGUAACACGGGGGGAGCAAGCGUUGUUCGGAAUCACUGGGCGUAAAGGGUGUCUAGGCGGUCAGGUAAGUGAGAUGUGAAAUGCCCCGGCUUACCCGGGGACCGGCAUCUCAUACUGUCUGGCUUGAGUAUGGGAGAGGAUGAGGGAAUUCCUGGUGUAGCGGUGAAAUGCGUAGAUAUCAGGAGGAACACCGGUGGCGAAAGCGCUCAUCUGGCCCAAUACUGACGCUGAAGCACGAAAGCUAGGGGAGCAAACGGGAUUAGAAACCCGGGUAGUCC